GUUGAGGGAGGAAGGCUCUUGGGUUGUAAACCUCUAACUUAGGGAAGAAGAAAGUGACGGUACCUAAUAUAAGCAUCGGCUAACUCCGUGCCAGCAGCCGCGGUAAUACGGGGGAUGCAAGCGUUAUCCGGAAUCAUUGGGCGUAAAGCGUCUGUAGGUGGCACUUCAAUUCUGCUGUCAAAGACCGAAGCUCAACUUCGGGUCGGCGGUGGAAACUGAAGAGCUAGAGUAUAUUAGGGGUAGAGGGAAUUCCUAGUGUAGCGGUGAAAUGCGUAGAGAUUAGGAAGAACACCACUGGCGAAGGCGCUCUACUGGGCAUAUACUGACACUGAGGGACGAAAGCUAGGGUAGCGAAAGGGAUUAGAUACCCCAGUAGUC
Molecule: ribosomal RNA, 378 nt
Filed under: Synechocystis sp. 0814_107_002_M2_Fp
Lineage: Bacteria; Bacillati; Cyanobacteriota; Cyanophyceae; Synechococcales; Merismopediaceae
Description: bacterial SSU rRNA
Rfam family: Bacterial small subunit ribosomal RNA
Source: RNAcentral